Molecule: ribosomal RNA, 317 nt
Filed under: uncultured bacterium
Lineage: Bacteria
Description: bacterial SSU rRNA
Rfam family: Bacterial small subunit ribosomal RNA
Source: RNAcentral
GACGAACGCUGGCGGUGUGCUUCACACAUGCAAGUCGAACGAGUGACUGCUUUGUAGCAAUACAAAGUAGAAGCUAGUGGCGGACGGGUGAGUAACGCGUAGGAAUCUGCCUUUGAGUGGGGGAUAGCAGACCGAAAGGUCUAUUAAUACCGCAUACGUAUAUACUUCGACAGUUGUAUAUAUAAAAGAGCAAUCUGCUCAUAGAUGAGCCUGCGUCCGAUUAGCUAGUUGGUAGUGUAAUAGACUACCAAGGCGACGAUCGGUAGGUGGUCUGAGAGGAUGAUCACCCACAAUGGAACUGAGACACGGUCCAUACU